CCUGUAGCAAUACAGGCAACCGGCGAACGGGUGCGUAACACGUGAGCAACCUACCGAACUGUGGGGGAUAGCCGGCCUAACGGCCGAGUAAUACCGCAUACGCUUUCGAUGAGGCAUUUCAUUGAAAGGAAACCUACGGGACAGAUCGAGGGGCUCGCGGCCUAUCAGCUAGUUGGCGAGGUAACGGCUCACCAAGGCUACGACGGGUAGCUGGUCUGAGAGGAUGGCCAGCCACAUUGGGACUGAGAUACGGCCCAGACUCCUACGGGAGGCAGCAGUGGGGAAUCUUGCGCAAUGGCCUAACGGCUGACGCAGCGACGCCGCGUGUGGGAUGAAGCUCUUCGGAGUGUAAACCACUGUUGCCCGGGACGAAUAGCUCGAUUAAUCGAGCCUGACGGUACCGGGUGAGGAAGCACCGGCUAACUCCGUGCCAGCAGCCGCGGUAAUACGGGGGGUGCGAGCGUUGUCCGGAAUCACUGGGCGUAAAGGGCGCGUAGGUGGUUUGAUAAGGGUGUGGUGAAAGUCCGGGGCUCAACCCCGGAUCUGCCGUGCCGACUGUCAAACUCGAGGACUGUAGAGGCAGGCGGAAUUCCGGGUGUAGCGGUGGAAUGCGUAGAGAUCCGGAGGAAGACCGGUGGCGAAGGCGGCCUGCUGGGCAGUUUCUGACACUGAUGCGCGACAGCGUGGGGAGCAAACAGGAUUAGAUACCCUGGUAGUCCACGCCGUAAACGAUGGGUACUAGGUGCCUGGGGGAGCGACCCUCUGGGUGCCGGCGCUAACGCAGGAAGUACCCCGCCUGGGGAGUACGACCGCAA
This 815-nucleotide ribosomal RNA is filed under the name uncultured Gemmatimonadota bacterium. RNAcentral describes it as "bacterial SSU rRNA". It matches the Rfam family "Bacterial small subunit ribosomal RNA", at positions 73 to 891 of the family's 1533-position model. The record is from RNAcentral. Lineage: Bacteria; Pseudomonadati; Gemmatimonadota.